AUAUCUUUCUUUGCCUCUUGGCUAAGAUCAAGUUAGUAUCUGUUCUUAUCAGUUUAAUAUCUGAUAAGUGGAUCUUUGGGUUCGCAUGAUAUUAAUUUAAUUUUUUAAUUUUUAUGGGGAGAAUUUAUUUAUGUAGCUUGCUACAUGGAUGGUUCUUAUGUGUCGUCCAAGCGUUGCACUACUGCUUUGGAACAGGCACACUUCGA
This 206-nucleotide small nuclear RNA is filed under the name Triticum aestivum (bread wheat). RNAcentral's name for it is "U2 spliceosomal RNA". It matches the Rfam family "U2 spliceosomal RNA". Rfam says of the family: U2 is a small nuclear RNA (snRNA) component of the spliceosome (involved in pre-mRNA splicing). Complementary binding between U2 snRNA (in an area lying towards the 5' end but 3' to hairpin I) and the branchpoint sequence (BPS) of the intron results the bulging out of an unpaired adenosine, on the BPS, which initiates a nucleophilic attack at the intronic 5' splice site, thus starting the first of two transesterification reactions that mediate splicing. The record is from Rfam by way of RNAcentral. Lineage: Eukaryota; Viridiplantae; Streptophyta; Magnoliopsida; Poales; Poaceae.